This 392-nucleotide ribosomal RNA is filed under the name uncultured bacterium. RNAcentral describes it as "partial 16S ribosomal RNA". It matches the Rfam family "Bacterial small subunit ribosomal RNA", at positions 523 to 918 of the family's 1533-position model. The record is from RNAcentral.
AUACGGAGGAUCCGAGCGUUAUCCGGAUUUAUUGGGUUUAAAGGGUGCGCAGGCGGCCAUUUAAGUCAGCGGUUAAAUCGUGGGGCUCAACCCCAUUCUGCCGUUGAUACUGGGUGGCUUGAUUGCGGUCGAGGUUGGCGGAAUUCGUUGUGUAGCGGUGAAAUGCAUAGGUAUGACGAAGAACACCGAUUGCGUAGGCAGCUGACCAGACCGCAAAUGACGCUCAUGCACGAAAGUGCGGGGAUCGAACAGGAUUAGAUACCCUGGUAGUCCGCACAGUAAACGAUGAAUACUUGUUUUCGGCGAUAUAAUGUCGGAGGCAAAGCGAAAGCGAUAAGUAUUCCACCUGGGGAGUACGCCGGCAACGGUGAAACUCAAAUGAAUUGACGGGG